RNAcentral lists this ribosomal RNA (263 nucleotides) under uncultured bacterium. Its description in RNAcentral is "partial 16S ribosomal RNA". It matches the Rfam family "Bacterial small subunit ribosomal RNA", at positions 524 to 786 of the family's 1533-position model. The record is from RNAcentral.
UACGUAGGGGGCAAGCGUUGUCCGGAAUUACUGGGCGUAAAGGGUGCGUAGGCGGCCAGACAAGUCAGAUGUGAAAUACCCGGGCUUAACCCGGGGGGUGCAUUUGAAACUGUAUGGCUUGAGUGUAGGAGAGGAAAGCGGAAUUCCUAGUGUAGCGGUGAAAUGCAUAGAUAUUAGGAGGAACACCAGUGGCGAAGGCGGCUUUCUGGACUACAACUGACGCUGAUGCACGAAAGCGUGGGGAGCAAACAGGAUUAGAUACC